ACUUAGGUGCCAUUAGGCACCACAUCAAAUAGUGAAUAAACGCCUA
Molecule: non-coding RNA, 46 nt
Organism: Nelumbo nucifera (sacred lotus)
Lineage: Eukaryota; Viridiplantae; Streptophyta; Magnoliopsida; Proteales; Nelumbonaceae
Source: Rfam